This 18788-nucleotide long non-coding RNA is filed under the name Lactuca sativa (garden lettuce). Its description in RNAcentral is "long non-coding RNA (LSAT_LNC004253)". The record is from RNAcentral. Lineage: Eukaryota; Viridiplantae; Streptophyta; Magnoliopsida; Asterales; Asteraceae.
CGUUUGCCCAUCAGUUUGUGGAUGAUGGGACGUACUAAAAAGUAACUUAGUACCAACUUUCCUCCACAAAGUGUUCCAAAUGUAACUCAAAAACAAGGAAUCCCUAUCAGAAACAAUAGUUUUACGAAUAAUAUGCAAGCGAACCACUUCUUUAAAGUACAAAUCAGAGACAUUAGAUGAAUCAUUGGUUUUAUGACAUGGCAUAAAGUGAGCCAUUUUUGAAAACCUAUCCACCACCACUAUAAUGGAUUCCUUCCCCCUUUGAGUUCUAGGCAAAGCCAUACUGAAUUCUAUUGACACAUCUUGCCAAGGAUGAAUAGGAAACGACAAAGGAGUGUAAACACCAUGCUUGAAAGUUUUUUUUGUCAUCCGAUAUGUAACACACUUGCCCACUAUGUUGGUUACAUCCCUAACAUCUUUAGGCCAUAAGAAAUGUUCUUAAAGCACCUUCAAAGUUUUGGUAAUGGAAAAAUGACCCGCCAAACCACCACCAUGAGCUUCACGAAUCAGCAACUCCCGUAUUGCAUGUUUAGGGACACAAAGGUGAUUGCCUUUUGAUGCCUUUAUGGGCUAGAUUAAGUGAGUGGGGCUGUGUUUAGGUAAAUGAAGCUAGAAUAAAAACCACAAAUGACAGGUGUAUGGGAAGAAAUGGAUAAACUAGUAACAAAUCAAGACCUACUAAGUUGUAUACCCGUGAAAACUAUCCAAGACAUAAUAUUUGUUUGAAUGCAUAUCAAGUCAAGAACAGGUCUCGACUAUGACAAGUAGUGAACUAUAACUAUAAUUCAAAGUGAACAAAGGUUCUUUUGAUUAAAAUUUCAUCUAUCUCUUUUUUCCAUGCAUAAUUGGCUUAUAUGAAGCCUUUAUUACAAAGUUGUUGGUUACAAACCACCCAACCAACUACUCAGUAAAACUAAUAAUGGAAAUUAAAGAAACUCAUGAAACCACACAAAAAAACGUCUGACACACCAAUGAAUGAAAAAAGCGUUCGUGCUCCAUUAAGGAGCAAAAAGAAGCAUUAAAAUGUAACCCAAAUCCACCGAAGAGUAUCAACAAUGGCUAAAAGGCUUGAUGAAGCCAAAAGUAAUGGUUUUGAGAACUUAUUAAGCCUUUAAAAUGUUGCCCUAGCCUUCAUGCGACCCUAAUUCAAUACAGAGGUUACCAUGCACAACCCAACCAUUGAGUACAAACCACCUUCUAGCCUACUAGUAAUCACUAAUCCAUCACCUUUUUCGGCUUUUCAUGAGCCAUGCAUGGAUCCACCCCUCCCUCUUUGAAAGGAAAUGACCUUAAUUCAUCAAGGCCAUCCUCAACAAGAUACAUGAAAGGUCUCCCACAUUAAAGGUAGCAUGCACUCCAUGGUCUCGUCCCAGAUACACCUUAUAAGCAUUAUCAUUGACAUGUGUCACCACUUUGUAAGGACCUUCAGCUCUUGGCAUCAACUUUUGUUCUUCCUUUUGUUAGGAAAAUAUUCUUUCCUCAUAUGCACCUAAACCAAGUCACCAUCUUGUAAGACACGUGGUUUCAUAUGCAUGUUGGAAUUCUGUUUGUACAUGUCAUUCACAGCUUCCAUCUUCACACAAACUUGUUGGUGUAGUUACAUCAUGGCCUUCAAAUUGUCAUUUGCAUCCUUGUGAACCAAUUCAUCAUUUGGAAAUGGAAUCAAAUACAAAGGCUUGUAAGGAUUCACACCAUACACCACUUACGAAGGCUUAUAAGGACCUUUAGCUCUUGGCAUCAACUUGUUCUUCCUUUUGUUUGGAAAACGUUCUUUCCUCAUAUGCACCUAAACCAAGUCACCAACUUGAAAGACACGUGGUUUCCUAUACAUGUUAGAAUUUUGUGUGUACAUGUCAUUCACGGAUUCAAUCUUCACACGAGCUUGUUGGUAUAGUUUCGUCAUGGCCUUCUACUUGUCAUUAGCAUCCUUGUGAACCAAUUCAUCAUUUGGAAAUGGAAUCAAAUACAAAGGCUUGUAAGGAUUCACACCAUAAACCACUUACAAAGGCUUGUAAGGACCUUCAGCUCUUGGCAUCAACUUUUGUUCUUCCUUUUGUUAGGAAAACGUUCUUUCCUCAUAUGCACCUAAACCAAGUCACCAUCUUGUAAGACACGUAGUUUCCAAUGCAUGUUGGAAUUCCGUUUGUACACGUCAUUCACGGAAUCAAUCUUCACACAAACUUGUUGGUGUAGUUUCAUCAUUGCCUUCAACUUGUCAUUAGCAUCCUUGUGAACCAAUUCAUCGUUUGGAAACGGAAUAAAAUACAAAGGAUUUUAAGGAUUCACACCAUACACCACAUACAAAGGCUUGUAAGCACCUUCAGCUCUUGGCAUUAACUUUAGUUCUUCCUUUUUUAAGUAAACGUUCUUUCCUCAUAUGCACCUAAACCAAGUCACCAUCUUGAAAGACACAUGGUUUCCUAUGCAUGUUGGAAUUCUGUUUGUACACGUCAUUCACGGCUUCAAUCUUCACACGAGCUUGUUGGUGUAGUUUCGUCAUGGCCUUCAACUUGUCAUUAGCAUCCUUGUGAACCAAUUCAUCGUUUGGAAAUGGAAUAAUAUACAAAGGCUCGUAUGGAUUCACACCAUACACCACUUACAAAGGCUUGUAAGGACCUUCAGCUCUUGGCAUCAACUCUUGUUCUUCCUUUUGUUAGGAAAAUGUUCUUUCCUCAUAUGCACCUAAACCAAGUCACCAUCUUGAAAGACAUGUGGUUUCUUAUGCAUGUUGGAAUUCUAUUUGUACACGUCAUUCAUGGCUUCAAUCUUCACAAGAACUUGUUGGUGUAGUUUCAUCAUGGCCUUUAACUUGUCAUUAGCAUCCCUGUGAACCAAUUUAUCAUUUGGAAUAGAAUCAAAUAUAAAGGCUUGUAAGGAUUCACACCAUACAUCACUUAUAAAGGACAGUGACCUGUAGCAUAAGUAGGAGAACGAUUACAGGCAAACUCAGCAUGUGCAAGUUUGAUGUCCAACUGUUUUUGAGUUUUGCUAACCAACCCCCUCAACAACAUACCCAAAGUUCUAUUAGUCACCUUUGUUUGCCCAUCAAUUUGUGGAUGAUGGGACGUACUAAAAAGUAACUUAGUACCAACUUUCCUCCACAAAGUGUUCCAAAUGUAACUCAAAAACAAGGAAUCCCUAUCAGAAACAAUAGUUUUACGAAUAAUAUGCAAGCGAACCACUUCUUUAAAGUACAAAUCAGACACAUUAGAUGAAUCAUUGGUUUUAUGACAUGGCAUAAAGUGAGCCAUUUUUGAAAACCUAUCCACCACCACUAUAAUGGAUUCCUUCCCCCUUUGAGUUAUAGGAAAAGACAUACUGAAUUCCAUUGACACCUUUUGCCAAGGACGAAUAGGAACCGACAAAGGAGUGUAAACUCCAUGCUUGAAAGUUCUUUUCGUCAUCCGACAUGUAACCCACUUGCCCACUAUGUUGGUUACAUCCCUAACAUCUUUAGGCCAGAAGAAAUAUUCUUAAAGCAUGUUCAAAGGUUUGAUAAUGGAAAAAUGACCCGCCAAACCACAACCAUGAGCUUCACGAAUCAGCAACUCCCGUAUUGCAUGUUUAGGGACACAAAGGUCAUUGCCUUUUGAUGCCUUUAUGGGCUUGAUUAAGUGAAUGGGGUUGUUUUAGGUAAUUUAAGCUAGAAUAACAACCACAAAUGAUAGGUGUAUGGGAAGAAAUGGAUAGAUUAAUAACAAAUCAAGACCUACUAAGUUUUAUACCGGUGAACACAAUCCAAGACAUAUUAGAUUGAAUGCGUAUCAAUCAAGAACACGUCUCGACUAUGACAAAUAGUGAGCUAUAACUAUAAUUCAAAGUGAAACAAGGUUCUUUUGAUUAAAAUUGCAUCUAUCUGUUUUUUCCAUGCAUAAACUUCGCUUAUAUGAAGCCUUUAUUACAAAGUUGGUGGUUACAAGCCUCCCAACCAACUACUCAGUAAAAUUAAUAAUGAAAAUUAAAGAAACUCAUGAAACCACACGAAAAAACGUCUGACACACUAAUGAAUGAAAAAAGUGUCCAUGCUCCAUUAAGGAGCAAAAAAAGCAUUAAAGUGUAAUCCAAAUCCACCAAAGAGUAUCAACAAUGGCUAGAAGGCUUGAUGAAGGAAAAAGUAAAAGUUUUGNCACUGAUUAAGCCUUUAAAAUGUUGCCCUAGCCUUCAUGCGACCCUAAUUUAAUACGUAGGUUACCAUGCACAACCCAACCAUUGAGUACAAACCACCUUCUAGCCUACUAGUAAUCACUAAUCCAUCACCUUUUUCGGCUUUUCAUGAGCCAUGCAUGGAUCCUCCCCUCCCUCUUUGAAAGGAAAUGACCUUAAUUCAUCAAGGCCAUCCUCAACAAGAUACGGUGAAAGGUCUCCCACAUUAAAGGUAGCAUGCACUCCAUGGUCUCGUCCCAGAUCAACCUUAUAAGUAUUAUCAUUGACAUGUGUCACCACUUUGUAAGGACCUUCAGCUCUUGGCAUCAACUUUUGUUCUUCCUUUUGUUAGCAAAACGUUCUUUCCUCAUAUGCGCCUAAACCACGUCACCAUCUUGUAAGACACGUGGUUUCCUAUGCAUGUUGGAAUUAUGUUUGUACACGUCAUACACAGCUUCAAUCUUCACACAAACUUGUUGGUGUAGUUACAUCAUGGCCUUCAAAUUGUCAUUUGCAUCCUUGUGAACCAAUUCACCAUUUGGAAAUGGAAUGAAAUACAAAGGCUUGUAAGGAUUCACACCAUACACCACUUACGUAGGCUUAUAAGGACCUUCAGCUUUUGGCAUCAACUUUUGUUUGGAAAACGUUCUUUCCUCAUAUGCACCAACACCAAAUCACCAUCUUGAAAGACACGAGGUUUCCUAUACAUGUUGGAAUUCUGUUUGUACACGUCAAUCACGGCUUCAAUCUUCACACUAGCUUGUUGGUGUAGUUUCGUCAUGGCCUUCAACUUGUCAUUAGCAUCCUUGUGAACCAAUUCAUCGUUUGGAAAUGGAAUAAUAUACAAAGGCUCGUAAGGAUUCACACCAUACACCACUUACAAAGGCUUGUAAGGACCUUCAGCUCUUGGCAUCAACUCUUGUUCAAAGUGAACAAAGGUUAGUUUGAUUAAAAUUUCAUCUAUCUCUUUUUUCCAUGCAUAAUUGGCUUAUAUGAAGCCUUUAUAACAAAGUUGGUGGUUACUAGCCACCCAACCAACUACUCAGUAAAACUAAUAAUGGAAAUUAAAGAAACUCAUGAAACCACACAAAAAAACGUCUGACACACUGAUGAAUGAAAAAAGUGUCCAUGCUCCAUUAAGGAGCAAAAAGAAGCAUUAAAGUGUAAUCCAAAUCCACCAAAGAGUAUCAACAAUGGCUAGAAGGCUUGACGAAGCAAAAAGUAACAGUUUUGAGCACUUAUUAAGCCUUUAAAAUGUUGCCCUAGCCUUCAUGCGACCCUAAUUUAAUACGUAGGUUACCAUGCACAACCCAACCAUUGAGUACAAACCACCUUCUGGCCUACUAGUAAUCACUAAUCCAUCACAUUUUUCGGCUUUUCAUGAGCCAUGCAUGGAUCCUCCCCUCCCUCUUUGAAAGGAAAUGACCUUAAUUCAUCAAGGCCAUCCUCAACANGUCUGGGGGUGACUGUGGUGUUCAACAUGCCUAAAACUUACCCAAUCCCCAAACAACGAGCCAUCGUCGUAACAAAGCGUGAAAUACUAUGGGAGUAUUUCUAGAUCCAACUUGGUUGUAGAAAACCCUCAUUCAAGUGUUGCCUCUUGAUUAUUCUUUUAGUAAUAAUAUAUCUGUCUUGAUUAUUUAUUCCUACUUUAUUGCUUAAUAGAAUUCUAUGUCUGUCAUAAAGAGAUAUCCCUUGUUUCAUAUCUCCUGAUUUAAUUCAGAGGAUUUACUAUCCUCUUUUCCUAAUCAUUUUAGAUCGAAAUGUCUCCAAAGAAAGGACCCAGCUCAAAGAACAACAACCCUCCGUCACCACCUCCUUCUCAAUUCGACCCUGUGAUGUUCCAGUUAGCUGUUUCUGCCGCAGUGACGGCNCCAUAGUGACAUAUUUGUUCUCUAACAGGUUCAGUGGACCAGGAAGUAACACCAACCCCUAAAACCAUGAAAAUGUUCAGGAGCAUCAGAAUGAGCGUAAUGAGAGUAAUAAGGUUAUCUGGAAAAAGUGAAAGGGUCAGAGUUCACAAAGACCCUCCAAGAGGCAUGAAACUAUGGCAAUUCAAGCUGCCACUACUCCUGUUGCUGUGUCUACAGUUCAAGCGCUUACCACUAGGUAUGCGGGUAACCUCCCUUGGUGCAACAAGUGCAAAUAUCACCAUUAUACCCCUGGCCCAUGCCUCGAGAUAAUCUGCAAAAGAUGUGGCAAAAAAGGCCACACCGCUCGAAACUGCAAAAGACCAGCCCAACUAGUCAAUCGAGCUUCCGGAUCAAGUACCGAACAGGCCUACUUUAAGUGCGGUGAAAUCGGGCAUUUCAAGCGAAACUGCCCAAAAACAGCAACCACCAACCACGCCAACAACGUUGGGAUAGCUCUGGCUAUAAAGUCGGAAGAGGCAACCGCUGAUUCCACCUCCGUCGCGGGUACGUUUCUUCUCGACAAUUCUUAUGCCUGCAUCCUUUUAGAACCUAGUGUCACGGAAGUUUUAUUAGUCAUUAUUCUAGUAUCUUCGUAAACAUAGUCCUCGUCUAAUAACCGAAACAUUUACCGUCGAGAUGGUUAAGGUGAGAAUGAGUGCACUAACGAAUUAUUCCUAAACUGUACCCUUACCUUGCGUAAUCAUUCUUUCCUCGUUAACCUAAUGUCAGUUUCAAUAAAGAACUUUGAUGUUAUCAUUGGCAUGUAUCGGUUGAAUCCCAAUCAUGCUGAUACCCUUAGUAUUGAAAAGGCCAUCUGUCCCGAUUUCCUCUCUGGUCAAACCCUCAUGAUCUACAACAAUAAAUUCAGUUCCAACCUUCAUAUCAUUUCGUGCAUCUAAAAAUCAAAAGGUUUUCCCGAAAGGAAUGUCAUGUAUUCCCAGACUAUGAAACCAACGAGAAACAGAACGUCAAAAACCUUGAAAGCAUCCCCAAAGUCUGCAAUUUUCUUGAUGUCUUUUCCGAAGAGCUCACAGGAAUUCCCUUCAGACAUCAAGUAGAGUUUUGCAUCGACCCAAUUCCCGGAGCAAACCCUAUAUAACCAAAUCCCAGCAUCGAUAGGCUCCAGCAGAAAUGCAGAAGUUACCCAGUUAGCUUCGAGUUCACGAGAGUGAUGUUUCCAAAACAGCAUUCAGAAUUCGAUAUAGUCACUACAAAGAUGUAGUGAUACCCUUCGGUCUAACCAUUUUCUUUGGCCAUGUAGUAAUCGAAGAAAGCAUGUUACAUUCUGAAAACUCGUAUCCCAAGGUGCAUAGAACUUUUCGAAAUCCUCAUUAGGAUCGAUCCUGUAGCAUACAAACUCCGACUACCCUCAGAACUUAGUAGUAUCCAUCCUGUCUUCCUCGUCUCAAAUCUUCAGAAGUGCCUGCCCAACGAAACCCUAGUAAUUCCGAAAUCAACGAAAGUCUGAACCUCCAUGGAAGAACAAAUUGAGAACAUAGAUCAAGAGGUUAAACGUAUGAAACAAGACAUAUCCCGAUAAGUGAACGGUACCCCGAAAUGCCAUGUGAGAAUCCGAAUUCACUUGGAAGCGUGAUGAUCCCAUAGGACAGAAGUAUCCGUAUUCUCUUUUCAAAUCUGCGAGUCGCAUCUAAAGUAUGAAUUUCGGGACGAAAUUCCCUCUAACGGGGGGAUAAUGUGACAACUCGAAGUUCGUUCCGUCAUCAUAACCCGGUUCCAUUAGUAAAGUCGUCAUGUUCCAAAAUUUUCCGUUAACUUUGUUUUAAUUUAAUUUAUUUGCAACUUCUAUUUAAAGUUCAUAAGUUUUGGGAUACAUUUUAAUUCAUUAAAAUAUUUUCUAUUUUCAUUUAGAAAAUAUUUAGUUUCAUCUAAGUCAUAAUUACGGUAAAUUAAUCGGGUGCAACCAAAAGCCCCACUUAUCAGUAGUAUCGGGUAGAAUUCCACCAUAUCCUAAACCUUGAACAUAUAUAAAGUUGAGAGAGCCUCAUUUGAAGCCUUUCCACUCUCUCUACUCUCUCUCUACUUUCUCUCUCUAGAAAUCGAAAUCAAGCCAAAAAUCAUCCAAAACAAGCUCCAAAUCAUCAAGGUAACUAUCCUAACUCCUAGUAUAACCCCUUUGUCCUUCAAAUUCGUGGAUUAUAUGAGGAAUAGAACCAUAAACAUGUGUUUACGGUCCUGGAACCUCCUUAGGCCGUGAACACAUGUAUUAAGGGGUUUUGAGCCUUAAAACCCUUCCAAACCUCAUUUGGAGCUUAGAUAUGACUAAGGGACUUAUUUGCAUGGACUUAGAACACCUUGAACUCNNNNNNNNNNNNNNNNNNNNUUGAGCCUUAAAACCCUCCCAAACCUCAUUUGGAGCCUAGAUAUGACCUAAGGACUUGCAUACAUGGAUUUAGAACACCUUAAACUCUUCAUUUAGGGCAUGAACAUGAGUUUACGGCCCAAGCACAUACUUGGACCGUAAACACCUAUUCUUGGGGAGUAAACUCAAUUUAAGGUGUUAGUUUGCCCCUAAACACCUCCAACAAGCUUCCAUGAGAGUAUAGAACCCAAUAAUCCUUCAAGAAAUGCACCAAAACUUACACAAAUGGGACAAACUUGAGCUUACGGUCCAAGAACAUUAUUAGACCGUAAACUCAUCUCCUUAGACCUUAAACUCAUCCAAUGGGUGUUAAAGUGCCCUUAACACCUUGUAUGGUUUAGAAAUGGGUCUAGAUCUUAGUAUGCUUAACUUUCAACCACUAAAACUCAUGAAUCAUGGACAAACAUGAGUUUAAGGUAGUAAACUCGUGUUUAAGGUAGUAAACUUCCGAAGAACAUCUUCAUAGACCGUAAACUCUUAUCCAAGGUCAUUUAGAGUCCCAAUCACUUCCUAAGCCAUGGAAUCAACCCUAGAACCUUUCCGUGUGCAUUGUAUGACCAUUUGGCAUCCAAGAACCCACCACCCAUGAGUUUACGGCCGUAAACUCAUGGGGAUAUGGUCAAUGGACCGUGAACUCCUCAAGGAGUUUACUCUUCAAGAGUAAACUCCAUAUCUAGGUCCUACACAUCCAUAGAUGCCCCCGGGUGACUCCGAACACUUGAAUUGAAGUUUUUCACGCCUCAAAGUGUAUAAUCAUAUCUAAUUAGUGAUUUAAAGUCUAAUUAGAUACAUUUGUAUCUCAUUUCAUAUUUCAUAGGAUCCUCGCGCGUUAUCAAGCCCUGAUCCGACACAUAGCAUCCUAGACAACACGUUCUUCGACUGGUGAGUUCAUACCCCUACCCUUUUUCCGUGUUUUCAAUGUUUUCAGGGUGAAUACAAGCAAACUAUAAAUGUUUUCAAAACCUAAAACUGAUGUGUUUCUAUAAAUAUUUGGCUAACUUUUAGAUAUCUUUACCCGUUUAUGUAUUAAGCUGAGCAUAAAGGAUGUUUUAUCGAUUAUAACUACAUGGAUUUCAGUAAAGGAAACAAUCAAAUCAAUCAAAUUAUUAUGGGAAUAAUUUGGGAUCUUUAGUUCCUAUUUAACAAGCAAAGAUUUAUGUAAAGUUAUUAGAUAAACUAUGUCUGAUUCAGUUUAUCUCUAUUUAAUUUAGAAUAUAUUGCCAGAUAAUUCCAUUGUGUUUAACUGUUUUCACUGUAUAUUGUUUCUAUAUGAUUAGUAUGUUGAUAACGUCUGAGAACACCGUGAAUAAAUUAAAUACUAGCUUGUGAGAUUCGUCAAUACCCUUUGGGUUAUCAGUAAAUCCUCCCCAGAAGUGUAACCAGAGUCUCCUGGAGGGAGAGCGUGGAAUUUGUGAAUAGAUCUAUUCGGGACUGACAAUCCUACACCUAAACUGCUAGCUACAGUUAGGCGGGCACGCCUGGGGUGACAAAUUCUGGAUAUCAUCCGACGUCUGACGAACGUCAAGGAGGUCUCGGUGUCGCAUCAGCAUGGUUACCCGACUGACAAUACNNNNNNNNNNNNNNNNNNNNNNNNNNNNNNNNNNNNNNNNNNNNNNNNNNNNNNNNNNNNNNNNNNNNNNNNNNNNNNNNNNNNNNNNNNNNNNNNNNNNNNNNNNNNNNNNNNNNNNNNNNNNNNNNNNNNNNNNNNNNNNNNNNNNNNNNNNNNNNNNNNNNNNNNNNNNNNNNNNNNNNNNNNNNNNNNNNNNNNNNNNNNNNNNNNNNNNNNNNNNNNNNNNNNNNNNNNNNNNNNNNNNNNNNNNNNNNNNNNNNNNNNNUACUAAAAAGUAAAUUAGUAAGAACUUUUCUCUACAAAGUGUUCCAAAAGUAACUCAAAAGCAUGUAAUCCCUAUCAGAAACAAUAGUUUUAGGAAUAUUAUGCAAGCGAACCACCUCUUUAAAGUACAAAUCAGACAGAUUAGAUGCAUCAUUGGUUUUAUGAUAUGGCACAAAGUGAGCCAUUUUUGAAAACCUAUCCACCAGCACUAAAAUGGAAUCAUUUCCCCUUUCAGUUCUAGGCAAAACAAUACUUCCUCAUUGGUAGGUCUAUAAUUACAGAGUGUAUACUUACAAGGUUUUAUAUAUUAAAGAUCUUAUAGACUCAGAAUGUGUGGUUUCGCUUUACUUCCUUUUCCUUGUUUGGAUGUGGAUAUAGAGUAGUAUCAUAUAUUUGAAGGUCUAUUAAAUCCGAUACAUAUAUAAUUUGUAUGCACUAUGUAAUUCUAGAAGGACCCAAUAAGGAUCACUAUUUAAAAAUGUUUAAUUAACUUUUUAAGACUCUUUAGACAUUUCCGUUCUCGUAUAAACCAUUUGGAUAGAUGUGGUCACUUCAGCAAUCAGCAGAGAAGUCAACAAGGACUCAGAAGAGAUUCAUUGGGAGGAUUUCCGAGUAGGAAACCGAUGAACACUAAAGAAACAAUAGAAAUCACCCUGUGCCUUUACCUUAUUAGGGACAUUGGUGAGAAGUUCGCCUGAACUUCCAAGAUUCAAACUUUCCCUUAUGAAGUAAUGGGGAUCAGUGUCGGAAUCGGAAGUAAGACGGCAUGGAAAUUCAAUAUACUUACGAAGGAGAAGGACACUGCAUAGGUUCCAGGAGGGAUCCCAGAGUAGCACAAAGAACUGAGGGAAGCCACGCAUGAAACGUGGGAAGUGUUUGUAUACCCAAUGUGUCACCUUAACAAAUUAAUAAAUUAAUACAACCUGGUGAGUUAGUGAUUACACUACUUACAUUGUGUGUUAGGCUUAUCGCCUUUUUCCGUAAUGGAAAAUAUCAUUAAAUCGGAUCACGAAAUCUCAUUUGAGAGUGAUUAUUUCUAAAAAUUCAUAAGUCUUUCCUAUGUAGUCUCCGUUCUAAAUUGCUUCCAAAUCUUUUCCUAGUUGGAGAGUGAUACUCACCAAUCUAAAGAUAACUUAGUUCGAGCGACACCUGGUUCAUGACCUUUUUUAAAAACUUACUUCUACCCUUUUACCAGGACUGCAUCAUAGGGAUGUAGGUUGAAACUUUGAGAACCAUAUACUGAGACACGGAGAAAUUUAUAUGUGCAUAUAAAUAAUUAGAAUACAUCUAGAAGCAACCAUCAUCGCUCAAAAACUUGUUCCUCAUCGUGUAACAGCAUCAUACCUCCGAAGAAACAUAACCAACCCACCGGCAAAACACCAAUACUUCAGAUAGACUCAGAUAACAAAGUACUGCAACAAGUGCCUGCUUGUAAAGACACACCGAACCUCAACCCUAAGAGUAACAAACGACAGUUCUGGGAUAAAAGGAAGUGCAAAUCAUCUCAAAUGAUGAACAAGAGACAACACCUGGUGGCAACCUCUGCAGCCACGACAUCUACUGCUUCUACUACCAUUCCUAUUGCUACCCCAAACAAGGCAGUAUGUCGGGAACCUACCCCUAUGCAAGAAGUGCAACUUCCAUCACCUAGGAGUCUGCCGAGUGUUGCACUGCAUGAAUUGCAACAAGAAGGGGCACACUACCCGUUUCUGCAGAAUUCCAAACAAGCACAUCACUUCAACCACCAAUGUUGGGAUCAGUCCAAUAUGUCACCUAUGUGGUGAAAUAGGACAUUUCAAGAGGGACUGUCCAACAAAAGGAAAUGAUAAAGGCGCAGGAGUAGUUUAACCUCGGAUCAUAAAGAAGUGUCGGAGAACCCUCUAGAAAUUUUGGUAUGCUCCCUAACUUUAACAACCAACUAUAAAUACUCCCUCGUUAAAACAAAAUUUGCAGCACAAUUAUAAACCUCAAAAACCCUGUCAGGUAAAGCUAUGAUGGCCUAGUUUAUACGUUAGGGUCAUUGAUAAUUAAGAUUUGUAGAACUCGAGUGAGUGAUGCAGUCUCAUUUCCUGUUCUUAGUUUGGUUGUGGAUUUAGGGCGGAGUCACUCAGUCAACGGUCUUUCCAAUCUUAAUUAUACAUGACAGGUGUAUACAAGGCGGCUAUAGAGAGGCCUUGUGGGAAUCAUUCCCCUAGAAGUACAUUACUCAAAAUCAUCAGGGCUCUCAAAUUGUUAGCGCUCGUUAUUUUCGAUUCUAAAAAUCACGGUGGUAAUACCAUGCGACGAAACCGGGAGCACUGAAUUCUUAUGUGCUUGAUAUAACACAUCUUCCUGAUAAUCAUUUCUUCCAUAUCGACUCGAUAUCUAUUAUAUCGAGAAAUUUUGACAUCAUCAUCUGUCAUGGUUUGGCACUCACUAUGUAAAAUGUCUGUGCUGAAAAGAACUUUCAUUCUAAUUAAUGUCAAAUAAAAUUCUUCCAGUUAAUAAUGGCAAACCUAUUACAACUCAUUAUGUCGCCUCUCACAUCAAAACUUCAGAAGUACCCGAGUGAGGGGUACCACGUCUUGUUAGGCUACCCAAUAGUCCAUGGAUUACGAAUUUGAAAUUCGUUAUCAUCCCGGUUAAGCCAAUCUAGUAGCUAACACCCUUAGUCGGGAGGAGUAACUCAGAUCAUAGAGUCAAACCAUCACUAUGACCAUCCAUUCGCAUCUGUCCAUAUGAAUAAAGAUGGCUCAGCAGGAAGCCUAGAAACCUAGAAUUUUGUCAGGUGAAACUCGGAGAAGGAUGGAAAAGAACUUAGAAGUCACAGGUGCGAUCAUACCAACACUAGUGCACCGGAUACCAUCAGAACUCUGUCAUUAAGCGUGCAUGGACAACGGAGCCUUAUACCACAUAGAUUUGAUCUAGACACCAAAGUUUUGUGACGUCAGAGACAUGGUCAUUAAUGAAGCUCACGAUACUCAACACUCCGUUCAUCCAGAUUCAGACGAGAAGUGUCUAGACCUCAAAAAGUUGUAGUAGUGGCUUGGCAUGAGAGCAAAAGUAUUGUUGCCUUAUAGGUAAGGGUAUUACGCACAUCAAGGUUAAGGUCAGAAUACUAAAACCCACAGAAUUACCACCACGGUCGAAGACACCUGAGUAGAAGAGGCUGCAGAUUGUGUUGUGCUUCAUAAUCCAGUUACCCAAGGCAUCAGGUUGACACAAUAGACAAGCUAGUGGAACAUGUUUUCGAAAGAUUAGUUAGACUGCUCGGUGUUCAAAUGUCUGUUAUCUCUGUUAGAGAUAGUAGAAUCACCUCCCGAAAUUGUCAGUCACUUCAGAAAAUCUCUGCGGGCUAGGCUAGUCAGGAGCAUAGCCUACCAUCAAGGAAACGACAAACGGAAGAAAAGAACGAUUCGACCAAUAGGGAUUAUGCUGAGAAUGCAUUUAACUGACUUUGCUAAAGUUUGGGAUACCCAAAUUGCCAAACUAGUCAAGUUCUUUACCACCCCGUCAUUUGAAGUUGCUCCAUUCGAAAACCCUCAUUGGUCGUAAGUGCAAAUCCCCUCUGUACUGGACUAAGGUAGGUACCACGCUACUAGUUAGAUGUCAAAUUCCAGACAACACCUUCGCUGAUCUAUAAACCCUUCAAGAAACUACCAAGUAGAAAGUGCAAAUCCGAAAACGACCUAGAACUUCUAGAACCAAUCAGAAAGGCUACGUCUUCAGUAAGAGAAAACCUUUGGAAACUCCAGGAUGGUGAUCACAUCAAGUGAUGGUCUCACCCUGGAAGGAAAUUAUGUUUUAGAUAAUGAGCAUGCUAAAUCCAAGGUACUUAGGACCAUUUGAGAUUCUCGAUAGAAUUGGUCCGACAGCUUACAGGUCCCGACUACUGAGGGAAUUCAAUAAAUUUCACUCUACCCUCCCAUGUCUAUAAAAUUGAAAAAGUGUUUAUCCGGCGAAACUUUUAUUAUCCCACUUGAUUAGGUCGAUGUAAGCUAAAGCCUUGUCUUGGUAAAGAAAUCUAUAAAAAUCCAGUUCAGUAAAAGGAGCCCUUGGAAACCCUAUCCAGUGGAGUCCAACGAACGAAAAUGAAACCGUACCCCUUGGUGAAAGUCUACGAAAGCGUAUAACGAGGACUUGAUCCCCCUAGAGAUCAAGUGGAUCAGAUGGAACAUGAGUAUCCGUACCUUUCACCUCAUCCAUGUAUAUUCCUUAGAACUAAAUUUCGGGAUGAAAUUCCCUUUAACGAGGGGAUGAUGUGAUAACCCGAAAUUUCUAUCUUGUACAACCAUUCAAUUCAAUCAAAGUCAGACUUUUUUCUGCUAUCUUUUAUCAUUGUUUAGGGUCUGUUUGAGUGUUCUAAGUCUAGUGCAUUCAAGGUUUGGGUUUAGGGAAGAGUUAGCUUAAGUUCAUAGCAAAGCAUUCAGGNUUCAAGAGGAGUGUACAGCCAUACACAUGGGUGUACCACCAUACACCCUUCAUGGCCGUGAACUCAUACCCUUAACAAUGAUUUCUUUCAGUUUUCUUCAUUUCCUCACAUUCCCAACGCAAGAACCCGAUUCUCUCUCAGCUAUCAUCAACUUUUCACCCUGAUCUUCAAAAUUAUAAGUAUUCCUUCCAUUGAUUAGUUGAUACAUGUCUUUAACUAGUGAAGAUCCAUGUUUUCAUCCGUGAAACUUCCUAUUUUGGUUAGAUCUUCAAGUUUCACCAAGAACACCUACUAGUUCUUGGGUCGUGAACUCCUUAGAAGCCUUCAAAAGUGUGAGUAUCUCUUCUAUAUUCUAUUAGAGCAUAAGAAACACUUGAUUCCUAGCCUAAAUCAUCAUCUAAUGCAUGAACAUCAAGGGUGUACGGUCGUACACACCUCAUGUAGUCGUAAACCCUUAUUUAGUGCGUGAUUAGGCCUCAAACUCAUCUCAUGUCCCAACAUAGGAUCAUGAACACUUAGUGGAUGCUAGUUAGAGCUAUAAAAAAACUCUAGUCUUUCCAUGAGUGUAUGGUCGUACACCCCAUGACCAUACACUCAUGUGGCCGUACACCACUUAGACCGUAUACACCUUGGCUGUACACACUCUUGGGUGGCCGUAAACCCCUUUGAUACAAUCAAAUGUGAUUGUAACACAUCAAUAUAAGUGUUUAUUAGUCCCUAGGAUUGUUUCCCUUCAUGAUUAGUUGUUAUAUACACUAAUUACAUAGAUAUAUGUGUCAUUAUAUGCUUAAUAGGAUCCGUUUGUGCUCAAGACUUCCCUUGGCAUACCCAUCAUUUCAUAUCACGUCCUCAAGCAAAUCAUCCUCCUAAGGUGAGUUCAUACCCCUACAAUCAAUCUUUUAACUGUUUUAAAUGCUUUUUAGGGGGGAUACAAGUUUAACACAAUUAUAAAUUAUGUUAGUAUGAACAUUUGUACACUGUUAAUAUUUCAAACUGUCAUAAACUACUUUUAAACAUUGACGUUUCUUUUAAACUCUUUAAAGCUCUCUUAUUUUCAAAACAAUAUUCAUGCAUAUAUUAGUGUAUAAACAUAGUUUAGUGGACUUAGGACUAGUGUUAAUAACCUUGACUCCUGUUCCUAGUUUGGUUGUGGGCAUAGGGUAGGAUUCACUAGUACGAGUGUCGAUUAAAAUAUGUUUACAUGCCAAAUGCAUACAUGAAUAUUAAAGCUUACUUUCAAGUUAUUCAAGUUAGAUACGAAACAAACAUACUAGUAAACGAUAAUAGGUAUAGUUUAGAGAACAUAUACAUAUACAAGUACAGAGAAUAGGGCUUAGAUAAUGAGUUUGCUCUUCAAGAGUAAACUCCUUAGGGAGUUUACGGCCCUAAGACCAUGUCCACAUGAUUUCACGGCCGUGAACUCAUGGAUGAUGGGUUUUAAGGUGCUCAAGGGUCAAAUAUCACAUGGGAAAUGUUGCUAGGAUUUAAUCUAAGGCAUAGGAAUGGAUUUAACCACCAAAGAGACCAUCAAAGGGAGUUUACGGACGUGAACUAGGAGUUUACGGUCGUAAGCUCCUAAUUACCGUUUCUUUUCAUGAUUUGGUGGCCCUAGAUUAAUCAUAUGUGAUUUGAACUUAUUUUAGAAGCCAUAGAAUGGAUUUAGGGCAUCAUUUGGCUAAGGUAUAGGAGUUUAUGGCCCAGAAACCUAUCCUUGGGGGGUUUACGUCCGUAAGCUCCUAUAGGAGUGGUUUUAAUCAAGUUUAAGGCCCCUAAAUCGAUUGUGGUUGUUUCUAGACUUUAAUCCAAGGCUUAGGAGGUGUUUAAAUGACAUUUUAACACCCUAAAAGGAGUUUACUGCCCAUGAUAUGGAGUUUACAGCUCAAGCAUGUUCUUGGGAAGUAAACUCAUGUUUACUCCCCAAAUGUUGAGUUCAAGGUGUUCCAAGUCCAUUCCUUUAAGUCCUUAGGUCAUUUCUAAGCUCCAUAAGUGGUUUGAGAGGGUUUUUAGGCUCCAAAACUCAUUUUAUAUGUGUUCACGGCCCAUGAAUGUUCCAGGGCCGUAAACACAUGUUUAUGGUCCUAAAUCAUACUUUAAACACAGAUUUGGAAGCUGAAAAGAUUGUACUACGAGUUAGGAUGGUUACCUUGAUGAUUUAGGGCUUAAAUUCAAUGAUUUUGGACCAUGAAUUGAGUUGUAGAGAGAGUGUAGUGAGAAAGGGUGCAAAAGCUUCAAAUGGAAGCUUUUUGAAUUUUAUAUAUGGUUCAAGUUUUGGACACGGUGGAAUUCUACCCGAUACUGACGUUAUACGAUGCUUUUGGUCGCAUCCGAUUAAGUUGCCGUAACCUGAUAUGGUUGAGACUAAAAAUUUUCCAAUUAUUAAAUUGGGGCGUUAUCAUGAGUUUCUAAUGUGUUUGGACACUCAUUAAGUCAUAAUAAACGACUCAAUUUAAUGACUUAAUUUAAUAAUGAAACGGAAACAAUUUGAAAACGACGAAUUUAUUAACGGAACGGGUUACAAUGACGGAAAGAAUUUCAGGUUGUCACACAUAUAUUAGUGUCUAAACAUACUUUAGUGGACUUAGGACUAGUGUUAGUAACCUUGACUCCUGUUCAUUGUUUGGUUUUGGGCUUAGGGUAGGAUUCACUAGUUCGAGUGUCGAUUAAAAUACAUUUACAUGCCAAAUGAUACAUGAAUAUUAAAGCUUACUUUCAAGUUAUUCAAGUCAGAUAUGAAACAAACAUACUAGUAAACUAUAAUAGGUAUAGUUUAGAGAGCAUAUACAUAUACAAGUACAGAGAAGAGAACAUAUACAUAUACAUAUACAAGUACAGGGAAGAGAACAUAUACAUAUACAUAGACAUGUACAGAGAAGAGAACAUAUACAUAUUCAUAUACAAGUACAGAGAAGAGAACAUAUACAUAUUCAUAUACAAGUACAGAGAAGAGAACAUAUACAUAUACAUAUACAAGAACAUAAGAGGACAAACUUACAAUAACAUAUACAUAAUAACUAGCAUGUGAGAAACUAAUUCAUGAUAUAGCAAUUCAAUUGUUGUAUCAUGUUUUGUAACCAGAGUCUCCUGGAGGGAGAGCGGGUAUUGUGUGUAAAGAUCUUUACGGGACAGACACUCCAACACCUCGACUGUUAGCUACAGUCACUGCCAACAAGGCCAAGGGGUGACAAAUGUCACAUCGUUUCGUCGCCAGAAGGUCGUCGUGUUUACAACAGUCAAUCAACAUUGUUACAACCAUAUCUUAUUUCACCUUAAUUUAACUAAUUGGGUUAUAAGGAAAUUAGUGCUUCAGCAGUUAUUUUAAACAACUAUGCAGCACACUUCAUUCUUCCAAUACAUUCAGGUCGUGAUAUACUCACAUAGGAAUGCAUACUAUUUUUCGUUUAAGAAAAGUUUUACAAACAUGGAAAACCACAUUUAUACUAUUAUAUGUACAAACACACAUUUUACUUCAUUAUUGAAGAGAAACAAACAUAACAAACCAGUUGAGUCUUGGUAGGAGACUACUUUCCAUUUUAGUAGAAAAUAUAAGAUUUUCUAGGUUGUAAACAAACAUUUACAUCAAAACAUUUCAAUCGUUUUCAAUAAAGAUAAGCAACCUUCAUUAAAUACUUAUGAACUCACCAACAUUAUAUGUUGAUCCUCUCUUUCAAAAUAACUUGUAUUCUCAGAAAUCCGGUAGACAGGUACACUCCCGGAGCUUUUGCGAAGACAGCCUAGUACCGAUAUGCAUUCUUUGUUUUAUUAGUAUAUCUACUUUUGAUGUUGAGCACUUGAUGUUUGAACUAUGUAAAAACUUAUACAUUAUUAAUGCAAUGGUUGUUGUACUUUGCUUACUAUACUACAUGUGUUGUGAUACUUGACAUGAUGUCCUACACCCCCGAAUGUUUCCGCCAAUUCGGUUUGGGGGUGUGACAGUUACCAAGCACAACCCAACCAUUGAGCCGAAACCACCUUCUAUCCUACUAGUAAUCACUAAUCCAUCACCUUUUAGGCUUUCAUAAUGCAUGCAUGGAUCAUCCCCUCCCAUUUUCAAAGGAUAUGACCUCAAUUAAUCAAGGCCAUCCUCAACAGGAUACGAUGAAAGGUUUC